Molecule: unclassified non-coding RNA, 587 nt
Filed under: Sordaria superba
Lineage: Eukaryota; Fungi; Ascomycota; Sordariomycetes; Sordariales; Sordariaceae
Description: sequence contains 18S rRNA gene, ITS1, 5.8S rRNA gene, ITS2, 28S rRNA gene
Rfam family: 5.8S ribosomal RNA (bases 235-388)
Source: RNAcentral
AGUCGUAACAAGGUCUCCGUUGGUGAACCAGCGGAGGGAUCAUUACAGAGUUGCAAAACUCCAACAAACCAUCGCGAAUCUUACCCGUACGGUUGCCUCGGCGCUGGCGGUCCGGAAGGCCCUCGGGCCCCCCGGAUCCUCGGGUCUCCCGCUCGCGGGAGGCUGCCCGCCGGAGUGCCGAAACCAAACUCUUGAUAUUUUAUGUCUCUCUGAGUAAACUUUUAAAUAAGUCAAAACUUUCAACAACGGAUCUCUUGGUUCUGGCAUCGAUGAAGAACGCAGCGAAAUGCGAUAAGUAAUGUGAAUUGCAGAAUUCAGUGAAUCAUCGAAUCUUUGAACGCACAUUGCGCUCGCCAGUAUUCUGGCGAGCAUGCCUGUUCGAGCGUCAUUUCAACCAUCAAGCUCUGCUUGCGUUGGGGAUCCGCGUCUGACGCGGUCCCUCAAAAACAGUGGCGGGCUCGCUAGUCACACCGAGCGUAGUAACUCUACAUCGCUAUGGUCGUGCGGCGGGUUCUUGCCGUAAAACCCCCAAUUUCUAAGGUUGACCUCGGAUCAGGUAGGAAUACCCGCUGAACCUAAGCAUAUCA